Molecule: ribosomal RNA, 255 nt
Filed under: uncultured bacterium
Lineage: Bacteria
Description: partial 16S ribosomal RNA
Rfam family: Bacterial small subunit ribosomal RNA
Source: RNAcentral
UACGUAGGGUGCAAGCGUUAAUCGGAAUUACUGGGCGUAAAGCGUGCGCAGGCGGUGAUGUAAGUCAGACGUGAAAUCCCUCGGCUUAACCGGGGAACUGCGUCUGAUACUGGAUGGCUUGAGUUUGGGAGAGGGAUGCGGAAUUCCAGGUGUAGCGGUGAAAUGCGUAGAUAUCUGGAGGAACACCGGUGGCGAAGGCGGCAUCCUGGACCAACACUGACGCUGAGGAGCGAAAGCCAGGGGAGCAAAACGGGG